This 429-nucleotide ribosomal RNA is filed under the name Chloroflexota bacterium. RNAcentral describes it as "Chloroflexi bacterium partial 16S ribosomal RNA". It matches the Rfam family "Bacterial small subunit ribosomal RNA", at positions 355 to 776 of the family's 1533-position model. The record is from RNAcentral. Lineage: Bacteria; Bacillati; Chloroflexota.
UGGGGAAUAUUGCACAAUGGGCGCAAGCCUGAUGCAGCCAUGCCGCGUGUAUGAAGAAGGCCUUCGGGUUGUAAAGUACUUUCAGCGGGGAGGAAGGGAGUAAAGUUAAUACCUUUGCUCAUUGACGUUACCCGCAGAAGAAGCACCGGCUAACUCCGUGCCAGCAGCCGCGGUAAUACGGAGGGUGCAAGCGUUAAUCGGAAUUACUGGGCGUAAAGCGCACGCAGGCGGUUUGUUAAGUCAGAUGUGAAAUCCCCGGGCUCAACCUGGGAACUGCAUCGGAUACUGGCAAGCUUGAGUCUCGUAGAGGGGGGUAGAAUUCCAGGUGUGGCGGUGAAAUGCGUAGAGAUCUGGAGGAAUACCGGUGGCGAAGGCGGCCCCCUGGACGAAGACUGACGCUCAGGUGCGAAAGCGUGGGGAGCAAACAGG